Molecule: ribosomal RNA, 253 nt
Filed under: uncultured bacterium
Lineage: Bacteria
Description: partial 16S ribosomal RNA
Rfam family: Bacterial small subunit ribosomal RNA
Source: RNAcentral
GACAGAGGGUGCUAGCGUUGUUCGGAAUUACUGGGCGUAAAGGGCGCGUAGGCGGUCCGCUAAGUUCGGCGUGAAAUCCCCUGGCUCAACUGGGGAACUGCGCUGGAUACUGGUGGACUCGAGUACCGGAGAGGAGAGUGGAAUUCCCGGUGUAGCGGUGAAAUGCGUAGAUAUCGGGAGGAACAUCAGUGGCGAAGGCGGCUGCCUGGCCCAAUACUGACACUCAGGUGCGACAGCGUGGGGAGCAAACAGG